UUUGGAUUUAAAUUAUUAUUAACCUAGGUAGUAUAAGUUAUGGUCUUGAAACCUAAAGAAUUUGGCGGUAUUUUAGUCUUUUUAGAGGAAUCUGUUCCUUAAUCGAUAGUCCGCGUUGAACCUUACCAAGUUAUUGUAUGUAUACCGCCGUUAUAAUGGGAAUCUUUUUAGGGUUUAUAUAAUUUUCUUGAUUUAUUAUAAUAUAUUAUUUCAGGUCAAGGUGCAGUUUAUUAUUUGGUGGAGAUGGAUUACAUUUAAAUUUGUUAUUGGAUUAAUUUGUUGAAAUUUUAUUAUGAAAUUGGAUUUAAUUGUAAUUUUUUGUAGAUUGUAAUGAUGAUUUUAGCUCUAGAAUAUGU
This 356-nucleotide ribosomal RNA is filed under the name Neostylopyga rhombifolia (harlequin cockroach). RNAcentral describes it as "partial 12S ribosomal RNA". The record is from RNAcentral. Lineage: Eukaryota; Metazoa; Arthropoda; Insecta; Blattodea; Blattidae.